AUGGGGAUGUGGGGAGAAGGGAGGAGGGAAGGAAGAGCCAGCUUGCACAGUGAAAACCACUCAUUCUCUCCCCCACACAGGGGAGCCCCACUGAAAGCAGCGCUCAUUCAAGAAGAGGAGGAUGGCUCAUUGCUCGAUCCAGGCAUGCAGCAGCAAUGACCUUGGCUAGGUACCCAUCUCCUGAAUACAAAGAUGGAUAUAAAAGCAGCAAUCCCCUUUUAAAAAAACACCCAGUCUUCUGCUAAGCUCCAGUCUGACCCUUUGCUGUGUGUGACUUGCUGGGCACCUGGUUUCAAUCAACUCUGCCAGCACCUGCCAGUCUGGGGAGAGACCAUUCCUGUUAAAAUAAACACCUGGGAGACACCAGGGAAAUGCCAGAGCAGCUUGGGCAGAGCUCUCAGGUAACUGCUGUCCUGGGCAUUAAGCUACAGCUCUUGCUGCUCCACUUGGGUGGGAAAGAAGAAACUGAUAUGGCUUUUUCCAGCUCUGGUUUUCAGAAGACUGAACCAACUACAGCUCCCAAUAAGGCUGCCAUGACAUAAACCUUCUGGGUUUUA
This is a long non-coding RNA of Oenanthe melanoleuca, 557 nucleotides long. RefSeq lists it as uncharacterized. The record is from RefSeq and is a predicted model, not a curated record. The transcript has 3 exons. NCBI's taxonomy places the organism in Eukaryota, Metazoa, Chordata, Aves, Passeriformes, Muscicapidae.